UCCAAAGGAGUAGGUCCAGUAAGAUCCCUUUUUGGCCCCAAAAUAUAGCCGUUUUACAAAGUUGUCUAAAUGUAAACUUUUAGUUAUUUAUUGGACAGUAAAAUGCUUCUGCUACAUAAAUAUGGGCUGUUUUUGACAAUACAAUGCACAUAUAUCGGGUACUAGCACCAUUAAGUCAUACUAAAUUACUGAAAACUUCACAAUUCUAGCAUUUUAAAUAAAUUUUAGACGGUUUUCGUGUAAAACGAAAGUGGCCGCAUUCGUGUUCAUCCUUAAUAUUGAAAUGUAAGUUGUAUUUUAUGAUAAUACAUAACAUAUAUAAAGGUUGAGG
Molecule: long non-coding RNA, 331 nt
Filed under: Mytilus galloprovincialis (Mediterranean mussel)
Lineage: Eukaryota; Metazoa; Mollusca; Bivalvia; Mytilida; Mytilidae
Source: RNAcentral